CGCGCAGGCGGUCUUGUCGGUCAGAUGUGAAGGCUCGGGGCUCAACCCCGGAAGUGCACUUGAAACAGCAAGACUUGAAUACGGGAGAGGAAAGCGGAAUUCCUGGUGUAGAGGUGAAAUUCGUAGAUAUCAGGAGGAACACCGAUGGCGAAGGCAGCUUUCUGGACCGAUAUUGACGCUGAGGCGCGAAGGCGUGGGUAGCGAACG
This 207-nucleotide ribosomal RNA is filed under the name uncultured bacterium. RNAcentral describes it as "partial 16S ribosomal RNA". It matches the Rfam family "Bacterial small subunit ribosomal RNA", at positions 568 to 774 of the family's 1533-position model. The record is from RNAcentral.